UACGUAGGUGGCAAGCGUUGUCCGGAAUUAUUGGGCGUAAAGCGCACGUAGGCGGCUUAGCAAGUCGGAUGUGAAAUCCCUCGGCUCAACCAAGGAAGUGCAUCCGAAACUGCUGAGCUUGAGUACGAAAGAGGAUCGCGGAAUUCCCGGUGUAGAGGUGAAAUUCGUAGAUAUCGGGAGGAACACCAGUGGCGAAGGCGGCGAUCUGGGUCGAUACUGACGCUGAGGUGCGAAAGCGUGGGGAGCAAACAGG
RNAcentral lists this ribosomal RNA (253 nucleotides) under uncultured bacterium. RNAcentral's name for it is "partial 16S ribosomal RNA". It matches the Rfam family "Bacterial small subunit ribosomal RNA", at positions 524 to 776 of the family's 1533-position model. The record is from RNAcentral.